This 218-nucleotide unclassified non-coding RNA is filed under the name Chalarus sp. CK1. Its description in RNAcentral is "sequence contains ITS2". The record is from RNAcentral. Lineage: Eukaryota; Metazoa; Arthropoda; Insecta; Diptera; Pipunculidae.
UCGNNGUCNNUGCUGUUAUGUACUUUAAUACUAAAGUGCUGCUUGGACUACAUAUGGUUGAGGGUUGUUAGACUACUUAAACAGUUGAUUUUAGUUAUUUUAUAGCUUAAAUCACAUGGUGUAUUGAAGGAGUUUAAUGUGUUCUACACAUAAAGCCCGCAAUAAAGUGCAAUUUUGAGCAAAAAUUUUGUUUAUACAACCUCAACUCAUAUGGGAUU